GACGAACGCUGGCGGCGUGCCUCAAACAUGCAAGUCGAGCGAGGGUUGGCCGGUCCGCAAGGAUCGGUUCAACUCUAGCGGCGAACGGGUGAGUAACACGUGGGCAAUCUGCCCCGCAGACGGGGAUAACCUCGGGAAACCGGGGCUAAUACCCGGUCCCCUCGCCGGGCGGCAUCGCCUGGUGAGGAAAGGUCGCAAGACGCUGUGGGAUGAGCCCGUGGCCUAUCAGCUAGUUGGUGGGGUAACGGCCUACCAAGGCGACGACGGGUAGCUGGCCUGAGAGGGUGGUCAGCCACACUGGGACUGAGACACGGCCCAGACUCCUACGGGAGGCAGCAGUUGGGAAUUUUGGGCAAUGGGCGCAAGCCUGACCCAGCGACGCCGCGUGGGGGAUGAAGGCCUUCGGGUUGUAAACCCCUGUCAGGAGGGAAGAAGCCCCGCAAGGGGUGACGGUACCUCCAGAGGAAGCCCCGGCUAACUACGUGCCAGCCGCCGCAGUAA
Molecule: ribosomal RNA, 501 nt
Filed under: uncultured bacterium
Lineage: Bacteria
Description: partial 16S ribosomal RNA
Rfam family: Bacterial small subunit ribosomal RNA
Source: RNAcentral